RNAcentral lists this ribosomal RNA (535 nucleotides) under Phrydiuchus speiseri. RNAcentral describes it as "partial 16S ribosomal RNA". The stretch from base 398 to 535 matches the Rfam family "Bacterial large subunit ribosomal RNA", at positions 2473 to 2611 of the family's 2925-position model. Lineage: Eukaryota; Metazoa; Arthropoda; Insecta; Coleoptera; Curculionidae. The record is from RNAcentral.
AAAAACAUGGCCUUAUGUAAAAAAUUUAAGGUUUGGCCUGCUCAAUGAAUUUUAAAUAGCCGCAGUAUUUUGACUGUGCAAAGGUAGCAUAAUCAUUAGUUUUUUAAUUGAAAGCUGGAAUGAAAGGUUGAAUGAAAAAAUAACUGUCUUUAUAAAAAUUUUAUAGAAUUUUAUUUUUAAGUUAAAAAGCUUAAAUUUUUAUGAAAGACGAGAAGACCCUAUAGAGUUUUAUAUUUUUUAUAUAAUAUUUUUUUUAGUAUUUUUAAUUUAUUGUAUUAAUUAAAUAUUUAAUUGGGGUGAUUAGAAAAUUUAUAAAACUUUUCUUUAAUUAUUUAUCAUUAAUUUAUGUUCAUAUGAUCCUUUAUUAAUUAAGAUUAUAAGAUUAAAUUACCUUAGGGAUAACAGCGUAAUUUUUUUUAAGAGUUCUUAUCGAAAAAAAAGAUUGCGACCUCGAUGUUGGAUUAAAAUAAACUUUUGGUGUAGAAGCUAAAUAGUUAGGUCUGUUCGACCUUUAAAAUUUUACUUGAUCUGAGUU